AUUCGCCCUUCGGGGUGCCCAGGCGCGAAAACUUUACAAUGCGGGAAACCGUGAUAAGGGAACUCCGAGUGCCCGUAAAAUCGGGCUGUCCAUCUGUUUAAAUAACAGGUGAAGAAAGGGCCGGGCAAGACCGGUGCCAGCCGCCGCGGUAAUACCGGCGGCUCGAGUGGUGGCCACUAUUACUGGGCUUAAAGCGUUCGUAGCUGGUCUGUUAAGUCUCUGGGGAAAUCUACUGGCUUAACCAAUAGGCGUUUCAGGGAUACUGGCAGACUAGGGACCGGGAGAGGUGAGAGGUACUCCAGGGGUAGGAGUGAAAUCCUGUAAUCCUUGGGGGACCACCUGUGGCGAAGGCGUCUCACCAGAACGGCUCCGACAGUGAGGGACGAAAGCUGGGGGAGCAAACCGGAUUAGAUACCCGGGUAGUCCCAGCCGUAAACGAUGCGCGUUAGGUGUAUCGGUGACCACGAGUCACCGAGGUGCCGAAGAGAAAUCGUGAAACGUGCCGCCUGGGAAGUACGGUCGCAAGGCUGAAACUUAAAGGAAUUGGCGGGGGAGCAC
RNAcentral lists this ribosomal RNA (558 nucleotides) under uncultured archaeon. Its description in RNAcentral is "bacterial SSU rRNA". It matches the Rfam family "Archaeal small subunit ribosomal RNA", at positions 316 to 879 of the family's 1478-position model. The record is from RNAcentral.